RNAcentral lists this long non-coding RNA (1539 nucleotides) under Ananas comosus (pineapple). Its description in RNAcentral is "long non-coding RNA (ACOM_LNC026983)". Lineage: Eukaryota; Viridiplantae; Streptophyta; Magnoliopsida; Poales; Bromeliaceae. The record is from RNAcentral.
AUGAAACACGAAAGAGUAAAUAUUCGCCCGCGAAACCUUUAUUUAUUGGAUUACAAUCUUUUGUCGUAAUUUGAUAGAGGUCAAAAAAAAUAAGGAAAGGAUUCGUUAUGUUAUAAAAAUAAAAAAGAGAAACAUUACAUUAUCUAUAAAGAUACAUAAAUGUACACACACGUCUAGCUGUAUUGUAUAUCUUGUAUCUACAUCUUCCUUCCUAUGUAAGAAAUUCAAUAUCAAUAAAAGCCAUUACUUGGUGUAUUAUCUAUUAAUGUGUAUCUAUAAUAUUAUUGAAUUUGAAUCCUUUCAUUCGCGAGGAUUCAAAUAUAAAUUGACUUUUAAAAUUGUGACUAUUGACUUAUGGUGCUUGAUUGAUAAUGUAAAUAAUUUUUUUAUUUUUUAAAUUUACAAAUUGGUGUCCAUAAGAGAAUUCAACUUUUGAAUUUCUUUUUCUUGAAAGAUUUUUUGAUAUCAGUUUUUUCCUCUAGUUAAAUAAUAUUUUUUAGUUCAUGUGAGUGAUAUUUUGCUAAUUCGCACGCAAUUAAUCUUAAUCUUGAGCUAGAGAACUAAUUCUUUUCUAAUAUAUAAUAAUUAGAAUACUUAUUUUGAUAGUUGAAUAUUUUUUACAGUAUAAAAAAAAUAUCUAUUUUAAUUUUUAAAUGCCUUUUAAUUAGUCAUAUUUUUAAGUGUUUCUAAUAAUUGCUUAUUGAUUCCUUCACUAACCUAAAUUUAGGAAUCAAAUACUUUAUUAGUUGUAUCUGUAGUGAUAAAAGUUAACGAAAGCUUUCUUUCAUCAUCAGCGACGACGACGAUGAUGAUGUUACCGCCAAUGCUACAAAAGAUAGUGCUUUCACUCUAAUUAAUUUUUUAUAUUUUUUCAUUUGUAAAUUCUAUACUGAUGAUAAUAGAAAAAUAUUACGCAUUUUUUAAAAAUUACAAUGAGGUUUUUUUUUUUAUUUUAAUCUGAUUUAUUUAUUUUAGUAAGUUGGUUUAGAUAUUUCCAGAAAGAAAUAUAAUUUAAUUUCAUUCUUUAAUUUUUAAUUGUUCAAUACUGCCCACUGCAACGUGCGGGUUCCUUAACUAGUUUGGGAACGAAAAGUGUAAUUUAGCCUUGAAGUAAAUGUAAGGAAAGAAGUGAGGUCGCUAUAUUGUCUCUAGGUAAUAUUACAAAGACAAAAAUAUUAAAAAAAAAGAAAAUGUUUUAAUUGGAGAUACAAUAAUAUCAGAUAAAUGGCUAGGGCUACUAUACUCUUUUGAGUAUAGACCCCUCUGUAUUCAUAAGUUUUCGACCGUUCGAUGAAGGAAUAUACGGUUAGGAUAAUAAUGAUCUCCGAUUAGGAUGAUAGUGGUCUUCUAGGGCUGAGUGAGUGAUUGAUUGAAUAAUAUGAUCUAACGGGUGGAAAUGGUAAUGGAAUAGAUCUAACGGUCAAAAACUUAUGAGUAUAAUGGAAUCUAUACUCAUAAUAGUAUAGUAGCCGCACUCCGGAUAAAUUGUAUAUGUUGUAGAUAGCUAUAUAAAACUUUAAUUUAUUAUAACUUUUUAUG